AGAAUCAACGCUGGCGGCGUGCCUAACACAUGCAAGUCGAACGAGAAAGUGGGAGCAAUCCCACGAGUAAAGUGGCGCACGGGUGAGUAACACGUGACUAACCUACCCUUGAGUGGGGGAUAACCUAGGGAAACCUGGGCUAAUACCGCAUAAUACCUACGGGUCAAAGGAGCAAUUCGCUUUAGGAGGGGGUCGCGGCAGAUUAGUUAGUUGGCGGGGUAAUGGCCCACCAAGACAGUGAUCUGUAUCCGGCCUGAGAGGGCGCACGGACACACUGGAACUGAAACACGGUCCAGACUCCUACGGGAGGCAGCAGUGGGAAUUUGCGCAAUGGGGGAAACCCUGACGCAGCAACGCCGCGUGGAGGAUGAAGCCCCUUGGGGCGUAAACUCCUUUCGAUCGGGAAGAUAAUGACGGUACCGGAGAAGAAGCCCCGGCUAACUUCGUGCCAGCAGCCGC
Molecule: ribosomal RNA, 459 nt
Filed under: uncultured bacterium
Lineage: Bacteria
Description: SSU rRNA
Rfam family: Bacterial small subunit ribosomal RNA
Source: RNAcentral